AUCACAAUCUCAACACAUAAUUGAUAAAGAACUAUUUCUCUCUCUCUCUCUCAGACAGAGAGACAGACAGAGAGAUCGCUUGUGCGUAUUCUGGGUUCUGAGGAGCUCAGGGCCUGCCUCAAAGUUUGAAGAUUCACAGGCUCCUGCUUCAGGACUGAACCUCAAUGUCCCCCACUGCACCUCAGGUUUCCCGCCUUUUCUGUAGUCUCAGUGUGUAUGAGCCGUUCAGGGUCUGCCCUGAUAGAAGCGGGGACACAUGUUGAAUGUAAUCAUUAUGUGCUGCAAAUAUGUACUAAUAAAAACUUUCAAUUUUUUUUUAAGAUAAAGAGGUUCCUCAACGACAAUGCUAAAGUGCCUUCCAGUGAAUCUUCCCAACCAAAUCAGAUGUGAUAAAGAGCCAGCAGGGGGGCCGGGGGCAAGCAAACCAAUGUUAACCCAAAUAGGGUAAGAAACGCCAACAGGACAGGAAAGAGCCAAAAGCAGUCCAGAAUCACAGCGCGCCUGCGCAUUCUAGCCGGAAGUUCACUGGAAAGACGGAAGUGCCGGAUGUAACUGUCUGAAGUUGAGGUGAUCCUUAGUUCUGAAAGGAAGGCGAAGGAGGCAGAUCUUGAAGCUCAGGAUCCUGCACAGCCAGCGAGCCAAGAGGAUCAGAGGUGCAGAGAGGUUAACUGACUCGCCUGAAGAUGCGCAGAUGACAAGUGACAAGCUGCCAUUGGAACCCCCAUCUUCUAAGCCAAAGUUUUCCCCCCUUGCAAAGAAACUAUGGCUCUGAUGUCAACUGAAAGGAAGGAGAGUAUGGAUGAAUGGAGGAGGGGAAUGGAGAUCCCAGAUGGUCAUUUUUGUCUGCUGAUGGUCACCAGACACUGAUUCAGAGCAGCUUACAAGAAGAAACUGAUGCUCCAGUGCCCUGAAGGUUGUUUCUACCAGCUGUGUUUGCCUCCGUGGGAAUGGAGCGAACCCAAGAGCUGAAGGCCAGAGCAGGUGAUGCAAGGGAGGAGCCAGCCAGAACAGCUUGGAUGUCUCUGCAGAGACCGAGUCUGUCCAAAGGGAAGCUGUCUCCACACAAGCCAUGGGAAAGGGAUGGAAGACCAUCUCUCAGGACAAAGAGCAGAAAGUAGAAACCGUACAGGCACCUACCCUCCACAGACCCAAAAAGUUGAUGAAAGGCUUGUUGACCGAGGCCUGGAAUUCAAGGAGAAAAGAGAAUACCCAAAGUCCACAUUGCUGGAGGAGAUGUGUGAGAUGGGAAGGAUGCCUGCCUCCUGUUGCCUGGCCUUUUGUGAACCCCUUUUACUUGGGCAUCGGGGAAGUACUCCCAAUCACUGAGGGGCCUGAUGGGAAGGGAAACCCAGAAGGUCAGUGCAAAUACCAGGACUAUGGUUUACCCUCAGCCCUAACCUCAAAUCAACCCUUCUACACAGUCUAGCCUCAACCGUACCUCACCCUUAUCCCUCUCCUUGACCUCACCCCAUCACUCAGCAGUGUCACCCCAGCUGCACUCCAACCCCAGUUGCUCUUGUUGUCUCAAGUCCCACCUCAAACCACCUUCCCCAGCCUCCACUCAAGUGGUCUGACUCAGGGGCCUCUUUCUACACUGGCACUUCCUCCCCACCCACCCCUCUCUGGCUCCCUGCCUGCCAGAAGAUGUGGCUCUGAGCUUUGAGGCCUGGGCCAGUCCUCAAGGUAUUGUCACAAUGUGCUAAUCCAAUGACUGCUCUUGGAGACUGGAAAAUGGGGAACUGAGGGAUAGCCUUCUGCUAUCCCCCAAGCUCCCUCCUUAAUGCCUGUUGCUUUGUGGAUGGGACUGCUCUCCUAGCCACUAAUAUGUUUCCCCUGUAUAAAUGAGAAAGAGAAAGCCUUCAGAAGGCCUCUCUUGAUCAGCUGUAGAGGAAGAGGAAGAACCAUAACCUAUAAUUCUCCAACUAAGCACUCGCCACAUGACCUUAACAAAUCCCCUUAGCCUCGCUUUCCUUAUCUGAGCAUCAGGGAGUCAGCAUCCUCAUCCCAUCCACCUUAGAGGAUUGUUACAAAGAUUAAGCACAAAGGAGCUUAUCUCCAAAUGCAGUUCCUCAUGCUCACUCUUAUACUCUGGUUUUUCUCAACAGUCAUUCUGUCUGCAGUUGAGAGAUCUGAUUUGAGAACUGUUUCCUGUUUCUAAGAAAGACUACAUGUUGUUCACUUUAGAUCCCUUCAGUAGAAGGACAGUUUCCUAAAGGUGGGACUGGGUCCCUUCCACACAUCUGAGGUAGGCUUCGCAGGUAAGAGAGCUUAAUUUAGCUGACCUACUUACUAGGUCCUUAGUAUGAGAAGGGAGAAGGGGAACACAGUUAUAUGGGUUCCCAAGCUUCUUUGACCAAUGAAGACUACAUGGGCUGCCCAAAUAUGCCAAGGGUUUGACCUCUCCCACCCACCCCUUCUCCCCAGUUUCCCCACCCCUGUU
Molecule: long non-coding RNA, 2440 nt
Organism: Heterocephalus glaber (naked mole-rat)
Lineage: Eukaryota; Metazoa; Chordata; Mammalia; Rodentia; Bathyergidae
Source: RefSeq, a predicted model, not a curated record